GUAAUUAGUGGAUUUUCUCGAUAUAAAAUGGGCAAUGAGUUUAUUUAUUUUAAUGUUAAAAAAUUAUUUUGAAUAAAUUUAUUGAAAUGAAACGUUAUUCGUAUUUUAUUAUAUCUAGUUUUUUAAGAAAUAAAUUGAAUUUACUUGUUAAUUAUGAUUUACUUGAUUUAUUGGGUAGGUAAAGGUUAAUAGGGUAUAUUAUCAGGGAUAAGCUUGAUAAUAAAGGUUUAGUAAAUGUAUAUUAAAUAUUUAGUGGGGAUAAAAGUUUCUUUCUAUAAAUAGUGUGUUAUUACAAAAUGUUAUAUUAAUAAAAUUUAUAUAAGUAUUAAAUUUUUAUUAGGAUAUUAAGAUUAAUUAAAUAUUUUAAGUAAUAAUGAUUAAAUUAGUAUAGUGGUGUAAUAUAGGAUAUAUAGAAAUUAGAUAGGUGAGAUAAAAGAAUUCGGCAAAUAAGUUUUCGCCUGUUUAUUAAAAACAUGGUUUUUUGAUAAUGAUUUAAGAUUUGGCCUGCCCAAUGAGGGGUUUAAUGGCUGCAGUAUUUUGACUGUACAAAGGUAGCAUAAUAAUUAGUUUCUUAAUUGGGGACUGGAAUGAAGGGUUGGACGAGAAAUUUACUGUUUCUAUUUUAUUUUAUUAGAAUUUUAUUUUUAAGUAAAAAAGCUUAUAUAAAAUUAAAAGACGAGAAGACCCUAUAGAACUUUAUAAUUUUAUACUAUAAUUUAUUGAUGAAAUUUAUAGUUAUAUUAGUGAGUUAUUUUGUUGGGGCGAUGGAAAAAUUUUAUAAACUUUUUUAUUAUUAUUAUAUUAAUGGAUAAUUAUUUGAUCCAAUAGUGUUGAUUAUUAGAUUAAGUUACCUUAGGGAUAACAGCGUAAUCUCUUUAGAUAGUUCAUAUUGGAAAGGGGGGUUGCGACCUCGAUGUUGGAUUAAAUUGAAUUAUGGAUGUAGGAGUUCAUAAAUUUGGUCUGUUCGA
RNAcentral lists this ribosomal RNA (968 nucleotides) under Aulacocyclus tricuspis. RNAcentral's name for it is "partial 16S ribosomal RNA". The stretch from base 426 to 625 matches the Rfam family "Archaeal large subunit ribosomal RNA", at positions 1797 to 2106 of the family's 2987-position model. The record is from RNAcentral. Lineage: Eukaryota; Metazoa; Arthropoda; Insecta; Coleoptera; Passalidae.